UCAAGCUUUGAUAACAUGUUGAAAACACACAGGAGAGUUAAAAACAAAGCUCCAGUUAAAAAUAUAAAGAAUCAUUCCUUCUCGACUCUAUGUUCUACAUCAAGAAAAUUUUUCAGAUAAAGAAUCAUUUGGACCAUAAGCACGAAACUAGUAGACUCCCACAUGGCAUUAUGCACCGAAUUCAGUAAGUCUUAACUGUGCUCCCAUUACCUUGGAACAAAGCUUUGAAGAGCUGUUGCCCACAACUUGAGCCUAAAAGAUAAGGACCUCGGGUGUAAUUGUCAGACAAAAGGAGAUAAGCAUAAACGGUAGUAAAAUACUUCACCGCAGAAUUUCUGUCGGAGAAAUUUGACGGACAUAAACAUGAGGCUGAUGGGGAAAUUUUUGGGAGUUCUUAAGAUCGAGUCUCAGAAAGAGUCAAUAAUCAAGAACUUGGGAGAUGGAGCACUUGAAUCGAGAGAUGUGGAUAGUCCAAGGAAUUUAUGGUGCUCAUCGCCCAAUGCACGUAAAACCAACUGCAUCCCAUCUGCAAACCAAUUCCUUGAUGUUCUUAUUGCCUUGUUUGUAUAUGUGGAAGUGUUGUUCAAUAGAUUUUCGCUUAUCUGCUGCUUCACAAAAAGACGAAACCUUUUGUAUACAGUAUUUUGUUUGGA
Molecule: unclassified non-coding RNA, 653 nt
Filed under: Hevea brasiliensis (rubber tree)
Lineage: Eukaryota; Viridiplantae; Streptophyta; Magnoliopsida; Malpighiales; Euphorbiaceae
Source: RNAcentral